UCUUCAAUGAUGAUUGAAACAGUGACUUUCGUUCUUCUGAGUUUACUGAAGACAACCUUUCUGUCCUGAGAAGA
This is a small nucleolar RNA of Cololabis saira (Pacific saury), 74 nucleotides long. RefSeq annotates it as small nucleolar RNA SNORD59. The transcript has a single exon. The record is from RefSeq and is a predicted model, not a curated record. NCBI's taxonomy places the organism in Eukaryota, Metazoa, Chordata, Actinopteri, Beloniformes, Belonidae.